Molecule: long non-coding RNA, 925 nt
Organism: Erinaceus europaeus (western European hedgehog)
Lineage: Eukaryota; Metazoa; Chordata; Mammalia; Eulipotyphla; Erinaceidae
Exons: 2
Source: RefSeq, a predicted model, not a curated record
CAGGUUACAGGUGUCUUUCUUCCCCACCCCUCCUGUUUCUGUCUCUGUCGUAGUAAAAACUUGAAAUCAGAACAGCUGCCUGCUGGGAGCAACAGAAUCACAGGCCGGGCUCCGAGGCCUAGCAGUAACCUGGGGGCAGAAACACUUGAGCCGAUGUCAUCUUUCGGGACAGACACCGGGAGGCCCCUGCUCAGGGUCAUCCUCUUGCAAGGGCCUGUAGUGACAGCAGAGCUUAGCGCCUCCAGAGUUAGCGUCUCCAGGCGCCUGUCUCUUCUCCAGCACCAGGCCAUCCGACACUCGACUCUCCUUAGCCGGAGACACCGGGUCAGGCAGACACGGUGACGUGCGCCAGGUCAGGCGGCCCUGCUCCCUCCCUCACAGCCAGACAAGGGCCUCGCACACCAGCCCACCGCAAGAUGCAGAACAAAAUGCAGCCACACAAGCAUACUGCCUUUCUGAAACUUAAAGAAAAAUUUAUUGAAGAUCUGAAAAACAAUUCCUAAAAGAUUGACUUUUCCAGAAAACCGUAGCUACACAAUGCAUUGCGUCUAUUAUGUUAAAACGUGCAUUCGACACAAAUACAAAACCAUGGAAACAAGCCACCGAUCUCCCACAGCGUGAGCAGGGCAGGUAAGGUGUCUAAGACACAGCGGGGACAGCUGCAGGGCGGGCUCUUCACGUGAAGCACCAGGGAAGAGGAGCACGAACGGCGCGUGUUCGGUUCACACACUCCAGUGGGCCUUUGGCACUAGCAGUCAGCGUUUGUCAGAGAGCGUCAACACGUACUAGGAAAGUGCGCAGUGUCAAAGGGAAGAGCUGCCAGCUCUGGGGAGCAGCUUCGUCAACUAGGCAAGGACACACUGCCGCACGUCUCUCCGUCGUCUGGCACUGAACACACUGGCAGCGACCUUGAAAUGAAGAGAAA